UAGCAGCCGCGGUAAUACGUAGGGUGCGAGCGUUGUCCGGAAUUACUGGGCGUAAAGAGCUCGUAGGUGGUUUGUCGCGUUGUUCGUGAAAUCUCACGGCUUAACUGUGAGCGUGCGGGCGAUACGGGCAGACUAGAGUACUGCAGGGGAGACUGGAAUUCCUGGUGUAGCGGUGGAAUGCGCAGAUAUCAGGAGGAACACCGGUGGCGAAGGCGGGUCCCUGG
This 224-nucleotide ribosomal RNA is filed under the name Mycobacterium marinum. RNAcentral describes it as "partial 16S ribosomal RNA". It matches the Rfam family "Bacterial small subunit ribosomal RNA", at positions 509 to 732 of the family's 1533-position model. The record is from RNAcentral. Lineage: Bacteria; Bacillati; Actinomycetota; Actinomycetes; Mycobacteriales; Mycobacteriaceae.